This 1306-nucleotide ribosomal RNA is filed under the name uncultured bacterium. Its description in RNAcentral is "bacterial SSU rRNA". It matches the Rfam family "Bacterial small subunit ribosomal RNA", at positions 28 to 1381 of the family's 1533-position model. The record is from RNAcentral.
AACGUACGCUGGCGGCACGCUUAACACAUGCAAGUCGAACGAAGUAGCAAUACUUAGUGGCAGACGGGUGAGUAACAUGUGGGUAUCUGCCCUUUGGCCUGGAAUAACACGAGGAAACUUGUGCUAAUACCGGAUAAGUCUUUACGGAGAAAGCUUUAUGCACCAUUGGAUGAGCCCGCACUUGAUUAGUUUGUUGGUGGGGUAAUGGCCUACCAAGACUGUGAUCAAUAGCUGAUUUGAGAGGAUGAUCAGCCACAUUGGGACUGAGACACGGCCCAAACUCCUACGGGAGGCAGCAGUGGGGAAUCUUGCACAAUGGAGGAAACUCUGAUGCAGCGAUGCCGCGUGAGUGAAGAAGGCCCUUGGGUUGUAAAGCUCUUUCGUCGGGGAAGAAAAUGACUGUACCCGAAUAAGAAGGUCCGGCUAACUUCGUGCCAGCAGCCGCGGUAAUACGAAGGGACCUAGCGUAGUUCGGAAUUACUGGGCUUAAAGAGUUCGUAGGUGGUUGAAAAAGUUAGUGGUGAAAUCCCAGAGCUUAACUCUGGAACUGCCAUUAAAACUUUUCAGCUAGAGUAUGAUAGAGGAAAGCAGAAUUUCUAGUGUAGAGGUGAAAUUCGUAGAUAUUAGAAAGAAUACCAAUUGCGAAGGCAGCUUUCUGGAUCAUUACUGACACUGAGGAACGAAAGCAUGGGUAGCGAAGAGGAUUAGAUACCCUCGUAGUCCAUGCCGUAAACGAUGUGUGUUAGACGUUGGAAAUUUAUUUUCAGUGUCGCAGCGAAAGCGAUAAACACACCGCCUGGGGAGUACGACCGCAAGGUUAAAACUCAAAUGAAUUGACGGGGACCCGCACAAGUAGUGGAGCAUGUGGUUUAAUUCGAAGAUACGCGCAGAACCUUACCAACACUUGACAUGUUCGUCGCGACUCUAAGAGAUUAGAGUUUUCGGUUCGGCCGGACGAAACACAGGUGCUGCAUGGCUGUCGUCAGCUCGUGUCGUGAGAUGUUGGGUUAAGUCCCGCAACGAGCGCAACCCUCACUUUUAGUUGCCAUCAUUAAGUUGGGCACUCUGAAAGAACUGCCAGUGAUAAGCUGGAGGAAGGUGGGGAUGACGUCAAGUCCUCACGGCCCUUACGUGUUGGGCUACACACGUGCUACAAUGGUAUCUACAACAGGAAGCAAGACUGCGAGGUCAAGCAAAUCCUUAAAAGAUACCUCAGUUCGGAUUGCACUCUGCAACUCGAGUGCAUGAAGCUGGAAUUACUAGUAAUCGUGGAUCAGCGUGCCACGGUGAAUGCGUUCCCGGGUCU